AGUGAACGCUGGCGGUAGGCCUAACACAUGCAAGUCGAACGGCAGCACAGUAAGGGCUUGCUCUUACGGGUGGCGAGUGGCGGACGGGUGAGGAAUACAUCGGAAUCUACUUUUUCGUGGGGGAUAGCGUAGGGAAACUUACGCUAAUACCGCAUACGACCUGCGGGUGAAAGCAGGGGAUCUUCGGACCUUGCGCGAUUGAAUGAGCCGAUGUCGGAUUAGCUAGUUGGCGGGGUAAAGGCCCACCAAGGCGACGAUCCGUAGCUGGUCUGAGAGGAUGAUCAGCCACACUGGAACUGAGACACGGUCCAGACUCCUACGGGAGGCAGCAGUGGGGAAUAUUGGACAAUGGGCGCAAGCCUGAUCCAGCCAUACCGCGUGGGUGAAGAAGGCCUUCGGGUUGUAAAGCCCUUUUGUUGGGAAAGAAAAGCAGCAGGUUAAUACCCCGCUGUUCUGACGGUACCCAAAGAAUAAGCACCGGCUAACUUCGUG
Molecule: ribosomal RNA, 492 nt
Filed under: uncultured bacterium
Lineage: Bacteria
Description: partial 16S ribosomal RNA
Rfam family: Bacterial small subunit ribosomal RNA
Source: RNAcentral